Molecule: ribosomal RNA, 492 nt
Filed under: uncultured bacterium
Lineage: Bacteria
Description: partial 16S ribosomal RNA
Rfam family: Bacterial small subunit ribosomal RNA
Source: RNAcentral
GAUGAACGCUAGCUACAGGCUUAACACAUGCAAGUCGAGGGGAAACGGCAUUGAGUGCUUGCACUCUUUGGACGUCGACCGGCGCACGGGUGAGUAACGCGUAUCCAACCUUCCCAUUACUGUGGGAUAACCUGCCGAAAGGCAGACUAAUACCGCAUAGUCUUCGAUGACGGCAUCAGAUUUGAAGUAAAGAUUUAUCGGUAAUGGAUGGGGAUGCGUCUGAUUAGCUUGUUGGCGGGGUAACGGCCCACCAAGGCUACGAUCAGUAGGGGUUCUGAGAGGAAGGUCCCCCACAUUGGAACUGAGACACGGUCCAAACGCCUACGGGAGGCAGCAGUGAGGAAUAUUGGGCAAUGGACGGAAGUCUGAACCAGCCAAGUAGCGUGCAGGAUGACGGCCCUAUGGGUUGUAAACUGCUUUUGUAUGGGGAUAAAGUUAGGGACGUGUCCCUAUUUGCAGGUACCAUACGAAUAAGGACCGGCUAAUUCCGUG